Molecule: ribosomal RNA, 465 nt
Filed under: uncultured bacterium
Lineage: Bacteria
Description: partial 16S ribosomal RNA
Rfam family: Bacterial small subunit ribosomal RNA
Source: RNAcentral
CCUACGGGGGGCAGCAGUGGGGAAUAUUGCGCAAUGGGCGAAAGCCUGACGCAGCGACGCCGCGUGAGGGAUGAAGGUCUUCGGAUCGUAAACCUCUGUCAGCAGGGAAGAACGGUCACUGUGCUAAUCAGCAGUGAAUUGACGGUACCUGCAAAGGAAGCACCGGCUAACUCCGUGCCAGCAGUCGCGGUAAUACGGAGGGUGCGAGCGUUAAUCGGAAUUACUGGGCGUAAAGCGCUCGUAGGCGGUAUGUCAAGUCAAGGGUGAAAUCCCCGAGCUCAACGUGGGAACUGCCUUUGAAACUGGCAAACUGGAGUGUGUGAGAGGAGAGUGGAAGUCCAGGUGUAGGAGUGAAAUGCGUAGAUAUCUGGAGGAACAUCAGUGGCGAAGGCGACUAUCUGGCACAUAACUGACGCUGAGGAGCGAAAGCGUGGGUAGCAAACAGGAUUAGAUACCCGAGUAGUC